Daphnia magna is the source of this 946-nucleotide long non-coding RNA. RefSeq lists it as uncharacterized. Lineage: Eukaryota; Metazoa; Arthropoda; Branchiopoda; Diplostraca; Daphniidae. The record is from RefSeq and is a predicted model, not a curated record. The transcript has 3 exons.
AUUUUUGUUUGUUGAAGCAGACGAAACUAGCCAAUGAGCAUUGAAACUUUGAAAGUUGGUUCACAGAUUUUACCGUGUCAAACAGCCCUAUAGGAUUAAUUUGUGGAAUAGUUUAGGAGUCGCGUGGAUUGUCUGCUAUGUGCUACGCUACAAGAGAGCAAACAAGUGUUUAUACUAUUUGGGAAAUGGGAAGGUAAGGUAAAAGUCAAACAGUCCAAUCUCCGUCCAUUCUCAUUGGAAUUUCAUUUUCAAAGAUUGGAUCAGUUGAAAGUGGAUAUUCUUGCAUACUGCAUAGUGGUGCGUUGGACUUUCACAUGUCAGACUCAUGCAUAGCUCGACUUAGCUAAACAAAGAAGCAGGCAAGCAGAAAAAUUUCAAGUAUAGAGAAUGUCACCACCCUCUGCAGCCAGGGGAAAAUCAGUAUGUGUGGCCAGACUGGAAGACCAAGAGGAAGACCACCAAAAGCUUUAGCUGGGGCCGUAUUCUAGCCUUGACUUAAGCACGGAAUUUUUUCUUAACUUACUGUUUUUUGCUUAAAAAUCCAAUUUAUGCUUGGAUUUACCUAAAACCGUAUUCUAGCUUUUCUGAACUCACCUUUUUUUCUUAAGAAAUAUUUUGAACUUGUCUUUUUAAACUUAAGAAAGUAAAUUUUUGUAAGCCAACUAUUAGUUGGCUUACAGCGGUUAUUUUCUUAAAAUUCCGUGCUAAGGCUAAUGCUUACAGCUAUUGUUGUCCUAGUUUUUAGUAUUUUCACGUGUCAUUGUUUUGAUUUUCAAGUAACAACAUCUAGUGGUCUUGUUGAUUGUUGAUGAAUAAUUGAAGAUGAAUAACAUCGACAAGUUUGAACGUCACCUUGAUGUUUUGAACGAAGUUUUAAAUAGUGACAAUGACAGUGAUGCGAAUGAGGAUGAAUUGUAUGAAAAACGAAUAGAAGUGAGAAGGAGAA